CACUUUUAGUUGCCAUCAUUAAGUUGGGCACUCUGAAAGAACUGCCAGUGAUAAGCUGGAGGAAGGUGGGGAUGACGUCAAGUCCUCAUGGCCCUUACGUGUUGGGCUACAUACGUGCUACAAUGGUAUCUACAACUGGAAGCAAAACGGCAAACGUUAAGCAAAUCCCGAAAAGAUACCUCAGUUCGGAUUGCGCUCUGCAACUCGAGUGCAUGAAGCUGGAAUUACUAGUAAUCGUGCAUCAGCGUGCCACGGUGAAUGCGUUC
RNAcentral lists this ribosomal RNA (266 nucleotides) under unidentified alpha proteobacterium groupF. RNAcentral's name for it is "partial 16S small subunit ribosomal RNA". It matches the Rfam family "Bacterial small subunit ribosomal RNA", at positions 1106 to 1373 of the family's 1533-position model. The record is from RNAcentral. Lineage: Bacteria; Pseudomonadati; Pseudomonadota; Alphaproteobacteria.